GGGACGACGGUCACCGCAUGAAUGGCUGCCUGGACGACGAGUGCAGCAAGACGGACCAAUGAACUCCUCAAAGUGCAACGUUUUCACUCUGAAACAGGUAGACGUUACGCCAUUGUGUCAUCUCCGAGAGGACGGCGUCGUAGACGGAACAAACCGGGGUGUGGUUGGACGACAGUCGAGACACUGGAGUUCCGUGGGCGGAGCUGAUAUGCUGCAGAUAAUGAUGUCAUUUCCUGCCAUUUGAACCAUUUGCGCAAGCAGAACAUUUCACUUGUGGUGGGGCCGGGGGCGGAGCCUCGUGUUUUUGUGUCGAAUAUUUCAGAUAUGUUCUUUAAUUAUUUACUUAACGUUUUGAUAGCUGAACAAAGCCUGAGUGUUUGAUUUUAUAUAUAUUUUCUGUCCUGCUGUAAACAUUAUAAACGCCAUCCAGAUGUAUAGAAGUGACGUUUAGUUGAUGAAACAGUUUACGGGAAAUGUUUCUUUGAGUAAGCAUCGCUGUAGAAAUGUCGUCAUCGCCAGCUAGAUCUUUCAUUUCACACGCAGAAUGAGUGAACAGGGAUUUUUAUUUUACUGUAAAGACAAUCAAACCGUUACAAGUCCUGUACAUCCCUUUUCCCAUCCUCAUAAGUGCGACUGCCCAUGACGAGAGAACACUCGAGAUGAGGCUGCUGAAACUUUGCCCUCAGUCCCUCAUCCUGUCACAUGACUCAGCCUCAGUUCAGAUGAACGUUUCUCUCGUGCCGUCCCCGUCACUUUGGAAAAAACGUGACGAACGUUCCUGUAAAUAUGAACUUAAAGAAAUGUUUCUCUAUUCUAUGUAAUUACCAGAUGUUUAAAAAAGCGAGUUAUUUAUCUAUUUAAAACGGAGCGUCUGUGACGACGGUAUUGGUGGUCUUUCUUAGAUUUAGUGGCCUUCCUAAACAUUUCUGCAUCAUUCAGAUUUCAAAUAUUAAAAAAGGUCUAAAACAUGAAAUUUAUAUUAGAAGUGUAACGUUUCGGCUGCUCACGAUGAAAAAACCAAACAAAGCAAUUUUAAAAAUGAUACGAGACUAGCUUCACCUUUAGCAUGGGUUUAAAAAUAAAUCGAUGGUUUGAUCAAGAUUUCAGCUCCAGUUAGUCCCAAUAAAUGAAGAAGAAUAAUUAAAAGGAUAACAGUGAAGAGGUAAGCGAUGUUGUGGGAUUACGGUGGCGCUGGUGGUUCUGUUUGAUCUCUAUUCUGUACUGACGUGUUGGUUUUGCUGGUCGUGGCCUCGAGUGAACACUGUGUACAUAAUGUACAGCUUGGACUGUGUCUUUAAAAACACAUUUCCUGUUUCUGGAAUGGAGAAAAGGCCAGUUACAUCCGAAAUAUAUGAAUAUAAAAAAA
Molecule: long non-coding RNA, 1366 nt
Organism: Ictalurus punctatus (channel catfish)
Lineage: Eukaryota; Metazoa; Chordata; Actinopteri; Siluriformes; Ictaluridae
Source: Ensembl